Molecule: ribosomal RNA, 1033 nt
Filed under: uncultured bacterium
Lineage: Bacteria
Description: bacterial SSU rRNA
Rfam family: Bacterial small subunit ribosomal RNA
Source: RNAcentral
AGAGUUUGAUCCUGGCUCAGAGUGAUCGCUGGCGGCGUGCUUAACACAUGCAAGUCGAGCGAAUUUCAGCAGCGUAUCGCUGAAGUUAGCGGCAGACGGGUGAGUAAUACUUAGGCAAUCUACCUUUGAGUGGGAAACAACCGGCCGAAAGGCUGGCUAAUGUCCCAUAAGACCACAGGGAUGCAUAUUCCAGAGGUCAAAGCUCCGCAAGGGGCGCUCGAAGAGGAGCCUGAGUCCUAUCAGCUAGUUGGUGAGGUAACGGCUCACCAAGGCUUUGACGGGUAGCCGGCCUGAAAGGGUGAUCGGCCACACUGGCACUGAGUCACGGGCCAGACUCCUACGGGAGGCAGCAGUGGGGAAUUUUGGACAAUGGGGGCAACCCUGAUCCAGCGACGCCGCGUGGAGGACGAAGGUCUUCGGAUUGUAAACUCCUUUUAGGGGGGAUGAAUGAACGGGUGAAUAGCCCGGAAUGACAGUACUCCCUGAAUAAGCCACGGCUAACUUCGUGCCAGCAGCCGCGGUAAUACGAAGGUGGCAAGCGAUACUCGGAAUCACUAGGCGUAAAGCGCAGGUAGGCGGUUGGGUAAGUCUUUUGUGAAAGCUCCUGGCUUAACUGGGAGAGGUCAAGGGAAACUACCCGGCUAGAGUGUGGCAGAGGAAACUGGAAUUCCCGGUGUAGCGGUGAAAUGCGUAGAUAUCGGGAGGAAUACCUAUGGCGAAAGCAGGUUUCUGGGCCAUCACUGACGCUGAUCUGCGAAAGCUAGGGGAGCAAACAGGAUUAGAUACCCUGGUAGUCCUAGCCCUAAACGAUGCUCAUUAGGUGUGGAAGGUAUCGACCCCUCCCGCGCCGAAGCUAACGCAUUAAAUGAGCCGCCUGGGGAGUACGGCCGCAAGGUUGAACUCAAAGGAAUUGACGGGGGCCCGCACAAGCGGUGGAGCAUGUGGUUUAAUUCGACGCAACGCGAAGAACCUUACCUGGGCUUGAACUACUCGUGGUAGUUCGCUGGAAACAGGUGGAUGACCCGCAAGUAGC